AUUGAACGCUGGCGGCAUGCUUUACACAUGCAAGUCGAACGGCAGCGCGGGCUUCGGCCUGGCGGCGAGUGGCGAACGGGUGAGUAAUACAUCGGAACGUGCCCAGUAGUGGGGGAUAGCUCGGCGAAAGCCGGAUUAAUACCGCAUACGACCUGAGGGUGAAAGCGGGGGAUCUUCGGACCUCGCGCUCUUGGAGCGGCCGAUGGCCGAUUAGCUAGUUGGUGGGGUAAAGGCCUACCAAGGCGACGAUCUGUAGCUGGUCUGAGAGGACGACCAGCCACACUGGAACUGAGACACGGCCCAGACUCCUACGGGAGGCAGCAGUGGGGAAUUUUGGACAAUGGGCGAAAGCCUGAUCCAGCAAUGCCGCGUGUGUGAUGAAGGCCUUCGGGUUGUAAAGCACUUUUGGCGGGAACGAAAAGGACUGUGCCAAUACCACGGUUCGAUGACGGUACCCGCAGAAUAAGCACCGGCUAACUACGUG
This 484-nucleotide ribosomal RNA is filed under the name uncultured bacterium. RNAcentral describes it as "partial 16S ribosomal RNA". It matches the Rfam family "Bacterial small subunit ribosomal RNA", at positions 29 to 507 of the family's 1533-position model. The record is from RNAcentral.